Long non-coding RNA from Haplochromis burtoni (Burton's mouthbrooder), 283 nucleotides. RefSeq lists it as uncharacterized. The transcript is spliced from 2 exons. NCBI's taxonomy places the organism in Eukaryota, Metazoa, Chordata, Actinopteri, Cichliformes, Cichlidae. The record is from RefSeq and is a predicted model, not a curated record.
AAGUACUCCUGCUUCUUCUGGACUUGAUACUUUAAGGCGCAGACGCGUGUGUGUUUGGAUCCGUGCGCUGCGUGAGAAGGAACCGAAGGCCGUAAUCUUGAGGACUGCGUGAAGAAUCUGUUGUCUGAGGCUCUGGACAUUGAGAUGGGAGAUUACUACGAAAUAGACAGAAUCCAUCGGGUGGGGCCAGCACCUCCGAAGCCAGCUGCGGACUCCAGACCGAGACACAUCAUCGUUCGCUUCCUACCGGAUAAAGCCAAGAUGUCCGUACUGGCGGCUGCCA